Molecule: ribosomal RNA, 4357 nt
Filed under: Triticum aestivum (bread wheat)
Lineage: Eukaryota; Viridiplantae; Streptophyta; Magnoliopsida; Poales; Poaceae
Description: partial small subunit ribosomal RNA
Source: RNAcentral
CCAUAGGAGGAGGAGCGGUCCAAGGAUGAGGUUAUAUUACGUACUCACGUGAGGUAGGUUUUGGAUGUAUGUAUUAUUUUUGUGUAGGGUAACAUCUUAAGGUGUCCCUAGGUGAGUUCAACACUUAGUCAGGCGGUUCGUUUUCCUUAAUUGGCUACUUCCCCGUUCUCUUUAGUGGAGACUACUUACCGUUCAAACUUUUACUUUUAGUACUGGUCCCGCAUUAGAAGUUGUCGUUGCUAAUGGACUCUGGGAGGUGUUAUUAAAACAUGCAUUGGUUCGAGUAAACCUAGUACGUUCCUUGUUGCUCUUUACAAACUCGUGUUUUUCCUGCAGUUUAUCACCGUCUGGUAUUCCUUGUCUUUCACUGCAUCGUUGUGUCGACGUCUCCCUUUUGCGUCUUUACAUAAAAAAUAUAGUGAUGAUUUGGACUCUAGUAGGAUAUUCGCCUCCUUGAUUUAUUAAUGUCAUGUCAUCCGCGUAGUUACUGUUUCCUCGUAUCUAUUUGGUUGUACUUGUGUUUAAUCAAAGGAUUAGUUUUAAAGGUUUUACUAAAUGGUUUCAUGUACUUGAUUGUUAGGUUAGAUCGUCUUGACCCCUCUUAUGAUAUACGACGUAUUGAUUUUUUGUUAGUUAGACAUCAAAAUCAUUAUGUGAGAACUAAUUAUCUGUCUAGGUAACACAGUCAGUUAAUUAUAAAACGGCCUCAAUUCCUACGCUCUGUAAAUAAUAUAAACAACGAACACAACCCUUCCUUUAGUUUAGGUUGAAAGUUACAAAAAAUCAACAAUAAGGAUUAUCUCAUCGCGUACUUUUACUUUUGUUUUGUUCUUUCUAAAUGUAUAAAUCUAGUUAUUUGAACACCGGUAAAUUGUGACUUUGGUUGUCCCAUGACUCUUUGACUACCGAGAUUUGAACAAUAACAGCACGAACGACCGUUCUCCGUUUUUGUCUUCGUGUUAAUUAUUAUACGUCACUAUUUAAUUGGGUACUUUGACUAUGAGUACGUACCUACUUACCUCCCCCCGCUGUGUACUCCAGACUGUCUCUCCGCAAUUACCUAUUGUGUAGUUACCUAUCGUGUGACAACCGACACACUUGUACGUUACAACAUACUUGACACAUAUUUGAUGAGGGAGACAAGGCCUUAUGAACAGCGACCUCUUUAGGACAUGUUCAAGACAAUGCAAUGCUUAAAAGACUUGAAAGGUAAAAAUGGGUGCGCGGCGGAGACAAGCGGUGAGCGAGCGGAGACAAGCGGUGAGUCAGCAGCGGAGAGAAGAGGGGUAGCGGAGACAUGACGGUGGAGCGGCCGGUGGUGGAGCGGGUGGAGCGGCCGGUCCGCCGGUGGUCGAGAGGGGCAGUGGCGACAGAAAGAGGGCGGAGGUGAGUGUGGGCAGCAGGUGAGCGUGGGGUGUAGGCUCCAGUUCGAAACUACGCGGACGAGACCUAGACCGCUGCCUCCGCCACCUACGCCCUCUAUCCCUCCUCCGGCAGCGCCACCACACCGACCUGGUGUAGGAGUUCGUGUGGCUACCGCGGUACCUCCUCCGGCUCGCGUAGACGGCGACGGUGUUGCGGCUGCCGCGGUACCUCAUGACCGAGCUCGGCCUGCUCGAGCGCCGGGACGCGGCCCUCUAGGCGCAGCUGGGCAUGACCCACGGCGGUCCCACCUUUGCGCCUCUGGGGCACAGGCGCCUACCGAUGCGCGAGUUCCGUUUCUACGCCCACCUCCUCGAGUCGUUCCUCGAGCGGCCUAAUUUUUCCAGAGGAAAAGGGGAAGAGGACAGUAGAAGUCUAGAAGAGAACGCGACGAACGAACGAACCUCGUCAUCUGGAACAUCUCUAAACACGUUCGUCAUCGUCUGUCUAAACACGUUCUAAUGACGAGAAGAGAAGAGAAGAACAAGAACCUCGUUCGUCGUCGUCUGCCUAAACACGUUCAUCUGAAGUUGUUUGUCUAACCUCGUCUGUCUAAAUCGACUGUUUAACAAACCACAAACGAACGAAAUCUGUCUGUCCAAAUCGUGUGUACGAAUACACCGUAACGUCUGUUUGUCAAACACGUUCUUGUGGGGUUUUCGUUCAUCUGGACGAACGUCAUCGAGAAUCCACUUAAAAUCCACUUCAUGUCUGCCUAAGUUUAGGAAAAUUUUAAUACGUCAUGACGGAUGACUAACACGACUUAAAACUUCACGUCUGUUUCGUUCGUUUUUAGUUGACUAACACGACUUAAAACGUCGUCACGAACGGACAACGAAAACGAACUUAAUGUCAAUUAAAGAGAAGAGACUUAAGAGGAGGAACAGACUCGUGUGUGUGGGAAAAAGUCAAAGUCAAUUGACGAACGAACGAACGAGAGAAGAACAGACUCGUGUGUGUGGGGGAACUGGUGUGUGGGACAAUGAUAACAAAUGAGGACAGUUUAUUUGAUGAGGUACAUAAUUACAACGAUAAUAGUCGUCAUUACGAUCACAGUUUAUUUGAUGAGGUACAGUUAUAACGAUCACAAAUGAGUAAAGUUAAUCACGAUUACAAAUGAGGUAAGUUAUAACGAAAAUGACAGUUUAUAACGAUCACAAAUGAGGAUAGUUUAUUUGAUGAGGUACAGUUUAUUUGGAACGAUCCACUUAGAAAAGGUAAUUAGUUUAAACUGCUUUAAAUUUCGUGAAUUGACUUAAAUAUAAUGACGUGGCACCUCAUCAAGUUACUAGAUCAUCAAGAAUAACCUCAUCAAGUUACCAUGAGUAUGUCAUGAACCACAUCGAACCACAAUCAUGAACCAGUAACCGUCAUCGAACGUCAUAAACAUCGAUAUCAAUUGACUUCUCUAAUGACGAAAUUCAUUGUAGUCAUAAACAUAGAACCACAUGAUGACGAAAUUCACUGGAAUCAACCACAUCAUGACGAACUUCACUGUAAUCAACCACAUGACGAACCUCAUCGAACGACAUCUCUAAACACAUAAGACGUCAACUCACGGUUUUAUGAGGAAAAGUACCUCGACGAACGUCAUCAAAGACUAGACGUCAGUCUAAUCGAACCUCGUCAUCGUAACGAACGAGACGAUAAGAGAAGAGAAGAGAAGAAAAUUAAUUUUAAUUGAUUUUGAAAAGGAAAAAUUUAAUCGACUUUGAAAGGAUCAAUUAAUCUUAAUUGACUUUGACAAGGAAAUCACGAACGUAUUUGACAAAAUUGCUACUUAACCUCAUGAGGAAAUUCUAAAAACUAAUUAUUCAUUUGAUUUGAUUUCAUGUCAUCGUCUACCUCAUUUAGUGUCUACAGUUUAAUGAGUAUGACAACUGUGACAAUGUUGGUAUCAGUUUUACCUCAUCGAGUGGAUCUAGACGACUAAACAGUUAACUAGGACACAUCGACUAGAACGAUAACGACUAAACACUUAAAGUCCUAUGACUAGAACGUCUACACCGUCGAGGACAAGGUUUAUCAAUUAAAAUCUUUUUCCUCCUUUUUCCUCAUGUAUAUUAUGGAUAAAGGCUGAUAUCGGCUAGAACCGCGGUCUUGCAGAUAUGGCCGACACUGGACCUACCCCUAGCCGCCGCCGAGGAGUUCGCCUAGCAUCGCUGCUCUAGCCGCCGCCGAGGAGUUCGCCUAGCAUCGCUGCUCUAGCCGCCGCCAAAGAGUUCGCCAGGACCUCGUGCCGCGUCUCCCCGCGCCAGGCGCGCCGGUGCUCGGGCCGCGUCCGCGCCCGCUGCCGCCGCUCUCGCCGCUCGACCAGGAGCCGCCACUGCCUCCCCUCCUUCGUCUCGGUACUCCCUCCCUCCCUCCCGAGCACGCAAGCCAGCAGGUCGACGACAACGUCGACGUCCAGCACGCAGGUCUAGGCCCCGUCAGCAGGACGUGUGUUUUCUUUUAUUUGGUUCCUUCUUUAGUGCUCGUCCCCCUCUACUACUUAAGCUCCUUCUUGCAGGCGUCCAUGUGUGAGUGGUAUCGGCAGUGGCCUCUAGGCGCCAGCGGCCGCGCGCAGGAACUUCCAACUCCGCAGCAGGAACUCCCAUCCCUAACCUCGUAGAGGCAGGCAGGUACCGAUGACGGCCCGGCCCAGCCUGGAGGUACCGGCUGGAGGGAGCUCCUGCCUGCGCCUAGUCCAGCUGCUGCUGCGCGACUACGGCGGCACCUAAACCCACGAGGGAGAGGGAAGGGAAGGGAACGGAAGGGAAGGGAAGGGAACCCUCUCCUUAUCUUCCAACCCCCGCCGCCGCGUCCCCCCGCUCCUCUAGCGGCCGCCGCCCCAACCUAACCCCACGCCGCCGCCGCCGACGCUGACCUCUACCCUCUGCUCCAUCCCGAUCGCUCCCUAACCAAGACAGCGCUGCCAUUUUGGUCGCCUCCCCUC